AGGCGGAUCAUUUUAUCACUGAUCAUAUUGUCAGAUUUAGCGAGUUCACUCUCAAGUCUGGAACAAUGUUUGUACGUGGAGUCAUCGUCCUUCUCUGUGUCCUAGUGGCCGUUUCUGAUGGAUUGCCUAACCCUAAUCCUGGAUAUUGCCCAAGGGUCUUUUUGCCCGUGUGUGGAUCUGAUGGAAUAACAUACAGCAAUGCAUGCCUGCUGCAUGCUGCCAACUUGAAAUCAGAUGCUAAAAUCGUUAUCGUGAAGCAUGGCAGAUGCAUUCUGGGGGAGUGACACAGGAACGGCACCACAAUUCAGCUUGACAGACCUUUAGUCAGCAUUAUUGUACUCGGGUCUCAUUCAUUAUAACCUGAAUGUGUAACGGUUUAAUCCUUAAAUAAAUGCAGCAUAUUGAAGUUGUUCUGUUUGGUUCUGUUUUUUUCCUCAAAUCUUGGAAAGACGAGAUAAAAUAGGUGAAGAUUUACUUUAAAGGAGGCACAUAGACCAUAUCUAGAGAGUAGAAUAUCAUAAAGGGUGUGUGAGCUUUUGACACCCUGUUAAAAUCAUUUUCAGGUAGACUCAGUCAUCAGUUGGAAACGGGCGCUGUGGGAGAAUGAUCGAGCAGAACAAAGACAGUGUAGUACCAUAACAUUCUCUAGUUUAUUAAGGAAGAAGGGUCAUAUUUAAAGCAGAAUCAUCCACGAUGU
This is a long non-coding RNA of Ctenopharyngodon idella (grass carp), 697 nucleotides long. RefSeq lists it as uncharacterized. The transcript is spliced from 5 exons. The record is from RefSeq and is a predicted model, not a curated record. Lineage: Eukaryota; Metazoa; Chordata; Actinopteri; Cypriniformes; Xenocyprididae.